UGAGGAAUAUUGGACAAUGGGGGCAACCCUGAUCCAGCCAUGCCGCGUGCAGGAAGACGGCCCUAUGGGUUGUAAACUGCUUUUGUACGGGAAGAAUCGUUCCGACGUGUCGGAAUUUGACGGUACCGUAAGAAUAAGGAUCGGCUAACUCCGUGCCAGCAGCCGCGGUAAUACGGAGGAUCCAAGCGUUAUCCGGAAUCAUUGGGUUUAAAGGGUCCGUAGGCGGAGAGGUAAGUCAGUGGUGAAAGUCGGUAGCUCAACUAUCGAAUUGCCAUUGAAACUGUCUUUCUUGAGUUAUUGUGAAGUGGUUGGAAUAUGUGGUGUAGCGGUGAAAUGCAUAGAUAUCACAUAGAACACCGAUUGCGAAGGCAGGCCACUAACAAUACACUGACGCUGAUGGACGAAAGCGUGGGUAGCGAACAGG
Molecule: ribosomal RNA, 424 nt
Filed under: uncultured bacterium
Lineage: Bacteria
Description: bacterial SSU rRNA
Rfam family: Bacterial small subunit ribosomal RNA
Source: RNAcentral